CCGCCCUGUCCCGUGGCGCCUCAGCUGCCGCCUCCCCUCGCCCACCUCGACGGCCAUGUUCGUGGGUGGGGAGAGGCCAGCCCGACCCUCGGACCGCAGGACUUGCGGGCUACUUUAGGGUUACCAACGAUCCUGAUCUGCCCAAGGCUGAGGAGUUUCCCAGGAUAUGGGACUUUCACUGCUAAAACCAGGAUAGUCCCACGCAAAGCAUCAUGACUGAUCACCCUACUUGCUGCCAUGAGACUACCACCAUCCUCGAGGAUGAUAGAUCCCAAGGAGAGAGUGCAGUCAACAUCCAGCCCCAUCAGCAUGUGACUUAUCCAGCCCCAAUCCAGUCACCAGAUAAUAGCAAAUGCAUGAGUUAAUUCAGGCGAGACCAUCAGAACGAUCUAGCUGAACUUAUCUCAAAUUGCUGUCCUCUGUUGGAGUUUUUCUGCACAUAAAAAAUAAAAUUGCCAUCCUACAUAACUGUAAA
RNAcentral lists this long non-coding RNA (475 nucleotides) under Pongo abelii (Sumatran orangutan). RNAcentral describes it as "lincRNA". Lineage: Eukaryota; Metazoa; Chordata; Mammalia; Primates; Hominidae. The record is from RNAcentral.